UGCCAGGUAUUUCCUGAAGCACAUUCUCCUCAGAAACCUUACAGCAAGGAAGGUACUGCCAGAGAAGAGGAUGUGGGCAUUUCUCCGUGCUGCCUGAGAUACCAUCUUGGUCGUGAAAGCCUCCAACCUGCAACCCCCACAACAGCAGACUCUGCAAUUGUUUCUUCUUGGUUCCCUGUGCUCAGAAACAAACACAUGUCCGCAACCUCUUCUGCAGGGCUCUUGGAACGCACCUGUUAGUCUUCUCCUCUCUGGGGCUUCUUGAUGGGGCUCAGGCAAGUCUCAGUCUGUCCCUAAAUCUUUUCAUCAUUGAUGAAAUUUAUUAUAUUUUUUUCUUGUUGAACUAAAAUGCUACUUAAAAUGACUUCUUCAUAUUGGGAAAUUCUUGAAUUUUUGAGAUAACCACACUUAGUUAUAGUGGGUUAUUUUAUAUGGUAUAACUAAAUUCUAUGUGGUAGUCCAUCAUUAUAAAAAUAGAUUUUUCACACCUAUGUUCAUAAGUGAGAUAGAGCAUUUUGACAUUAGACAAAUUUGGGUGGGAAAGACCACGUUCAUUUUGUGAAAUAAAUUAAAUGAUUUCAG
This 582-nucleotide long non-coding RNA is filed under the name Mustela putorius furo (domestic ferret). RNAcentral's name for it is "lncRNA (ENSMPUG00000029018.1)". The record is from RNAcentral. Lineage: Eukaryota; Metazoa; Chordata; Mammalia; Carnivora; Mustelidae.